This 261-nucleotide long non-coding RNA is filed under the name Phoenix dactylifera (date palm). RNAcentral describes it as "long non-coding RNA (PDAC_LNC019920)". Lineage: Eukaryota; Viridiplantae; Streptophyta; Magnoliopsida; Arecales; Arecaceae. The record is from RNAcentral.
GGGAUCAAUAUUACCGGAAAGACUGGCACAUCUUAUGUAUGCUCAAUAUAGAGGGUGAUUGAUCUCAUAAUCACUUGUGUGAGACACUAAUACAAAGAUGUGGGUGCUCAUUAGAGGAAUGAGUUCACUGAAAUGACCAGCCAUGAGAACAUCUUAUGGAUUCUUACUUAAUUAUCAAAAGAUGGUUCUCAUAGUGGGAGUUGUGCAAGUGAUCCUUAGACCUGAGAUCACUAUGGUACCUUGUGCACUUAAAGCUAUGUU